RNAcentral lists this ribosomal RNA (253 nucleotides) under uncultured bacterium. RNAcentral describes it as "partial 16S ribosomal RNA". It matches the Rfam family "Bacterial small subunit ribosomal RNA", at positions 524 to 776 of the family's 1533-position model. The record is from RNAcentral.
UACGUAGGGUGCGAGCGUUAAUCGGAAUUACUGGGCGUAAAGGGUGCGUAGGCGGUUUGCUAAGACAGGUGUGAAAUCCCCGGGCUUAACCUGGGAAUGGCGCUUGUUACUGGCAGGCUAGAGUGUGUCAGAGGGAGGUAGAACUCCACGUGUAGCAGUGAAAUGCGUAGAGAUGUGGAGGAAUACCGAUGGCGAAGGCAGCCUCCUGGGAUAACACUGACGCUGAGGCACGAAAGCGUGGGGAGCAAACAGG